AGCUCAGUUGGAAGAGCAUGGUGCUUGCAAUGCCAUUAUUGUGGGUUCAAUUCCCAC
RNAcentral lists this transfer RNA (57 nucleotides) under Salmo salar (Atlantic salmon). It matches the Rfam family "tRNA", at positions 9 to 63 of the family's 71-position model. Rfam says of the family: Transfer RNA (tRNA) molecules are approximately 80 nucleotides in length. Their secondary structure includes four short double-helical elements and three loops (D, anti-codon, and T loops). Lineage: Eukaryota; Metazoa; Chordata; Actinopteri; Salmoniformes; Salmonidae. The record is from Rfam by way of RNAcentral.